CCGCUGAACUUAAGCAUAUCAAUAAGCGGAGGAAAAGAAACUAACAAGGAUUCCCCUAGUAACUGCGAGUGAAGCGGGAAAAGCUCAAAUUUAAAAUCUGGCGGUCUCUGGCCGUCCGAGUUGUAAUCUAGAGAAGUAAUGCCCGUGCUGGACCGUGUAUAAGUCUCCUGGGAUGGGGCGUCAUAGAGGGUGAGAAUCCCGUCUUUGACACGGACUACCAGUGCAUUGUGGUAUGCUCUCAAAGAGUCGAGUUGUUUGGGAAUGCAGCUCAAAAUGGGUGGUAAAUUCCAUCUAAAGCUAAAUACUGGCGAGAGACCGAUAGCGAACAAGUACCGUGAGGGAAAGAUGAAAAGAACUUUGGAAAGAGAGUUAAACAGUACGUGAAAUUGCUGAAAGGGAAACGCUUGAAGUCAGUCGCGUUGGCCGGGGAUCAGCCUUGCUUCUGCAUGGUGUACUUUCUGGUUGACGGGUCAGCAUCAAUUUUGACCACUGGAAAAGGUUCAGGGGAAUGUGGCAGCUUCGGCUGUGUUAUAGCCCUUGUUCAUAUACAGUGGUUGGGAUUGUGGAACUCAGCACGCCGCAAGGCCGGGUUUCGACCACGUUCGUGCUUAGGAUGCUGGCAUAAUGGCUUUAAGCGACCCGUCUUGAAACACGG
RNAcentral lists this ribosomal RNA (655 nucleotides) under uncultured fungus. Its description in RNAcentral is "eukaryotic LSU rRNA". It matches the Rfam family "Eukaryotic large subunit ribosomal RNA", at positions 25 to 664 of the family's 3401-position model. Lineage: Eukaryota; Fungi. The record is from RNAcentral.